AAGGAUUUAUUUGUGGAGGUACAAAAAGUGUAUACUGAAUAUUAAUAUAUGUUAGGUUAUCGGCACAUUUUUCAAGUUCACGACACAAGUUAAGUGACAAACUUGUCUGGGGACAAAACAAACUUCUUUUCUGCACUUGAGAGGGUUCUAUUAUAAUUGCCAUAUUUGAAGAGUCCUGUGAAUUCAAAAUUCUUCUGACACGAGAGGCUCAGUUUGGUGGCAUUCUUACUGCUGUUAAGUGGUUUGCUGCUGACCCCAACUAUUUCAUCAUUGGAGGAUAUUUUGGAACUAAGUUUAGAUUUAAUUUAAUCUCUGAUUCUUUUUUUGUUACCAAUCCAUUUGAAGAUAGAUCUAAUUACUAAUCGCAUAUGACAGGUUUACCUUUGUCGAAGCAUGACGAUGAACCAUGGACAAUCAAGAUGGUAAUAAGGACGGAUGACAAAAGUAGUGUCAUAGAUAUAUGCUUAAAUCCUACUUUUGAAGGUUUCCAUAGAGAAAUACUUAUGCUCAGGUUGGAAUUUGAUAGCGAACAUCAUGAGAUCAGCUAUAAGACUGGUAAUUCAAAGCCCCUAAAGCACAUGGCACACUUGGCGUGGAUUGGGAUAAAGGGACUAUUGGGUUCAUCAAUACCACCACGUGCAGGAAGCUAUCGCCCAAAUAAAGUGUGUUAGUGUAAAGUGGAAGCCAAUGGAACCAUGAACUACUAGCAUAAACAAACUUGGAUAGAACUAUGAAGAUUUUGAGGCUAAAAUAUGUUGAUGAACCCUUCACGAAGAACCAAUAAGAGCCACAUGAAUACACGACCUUGGACUUGCAUUGGAGGACGUCGGGACAUGGUGGAAAAGGACUUAAUGCAUCUCGGUGAACCAAGGCUCUGACAUAGAUUGCACAUCCUUGGAAAGAAUUCCAAAGCUGUCAUAUUUAUGGAUCAAGAAUGCCUUGAUCUAAAGCCUCACGCAUCUCCAGCACAUAGCCUGUCAAAUGGUGCAAUGCAGAACAAUGCACUAUUAAAUUGUAGGCAGUAUCUUGCCAUGUGUCACAUGUUUCACUACUACAAAAAAGAUUUUAAUAUAUAAAAAAUUUGCUCCUUGUUUUAA
Molecule: long non-coding RNA, 1097 nt
Organism: Panicum virgatum (switchgrass)
Lineage: Eukaryota; Viridiplantae; Streptophyta; Magnoliopsida; Poales; Poaceae
Exons: 6
Source: RefSeq, a predicted model, not a curated record